This 1082-nucleotide ribosomal RNA is filed under the name Salmonella enterica subsp. enterica serovar Typhimurium. RNAcentral describes it as "bacterial LSU rRNA". It matches the Rfam family "Bacterial large subunit ribosomal RNA", at positions 923 to 1901 of the family's 2925-position model. The record is from RNAcentral. Lineage: Bacteria; Pseudomonadati; Pseudomonadota; Gammaproteobacteria; Enterobacterales; Enterobacteriaceae.
GGGGCCAUCCCGGCUUACCAACCCGAUGCAAACUGCGAAUACCGGAGAAUGUUAUCACGGGAGACACACGGCGGGUGCUAACGUCCGUCGUGAAGAGGGAAACAACCCAGACCGCCAGCUAAGGUCCCAAAGUCAUGGUUAAGUGGGAAACGAUGUGGGAAGGCCCAGACAGCCAGGAUGUUGGCUUAGAAGCAGCCAUCAUUUAAAGAAAGCGUAAUAGCUCACUGGUCGAGUCGGCCUGCGCGGAAGAUGUAACGGGGCUAAACCAUGCACCGAAGCUGCGGCAGCGAACGUAUCACCCAAGACAACUUUACGGAGUUGACGAUUGACGGAGCGAAGCGACGUCAAAGCGUUCAUUAAAGUCGAGUUGGCUUAGGGAUACGUUCGUUGGGUAGGGGAGCGUUCUGUAAGCCUGUGAAGGUGUGUCGUGAGGCAUGCUGGAGGUAUCAGAAGUGCGAAUGCUGACAUAAGUAACGAUAAAGCGGGUGAAAAGCCCGCUCGCCGGAAGACCAAGGGUUCCUGUCCAACGUUAAUCGGGGCAGGGUGAGUCGACCCCUAAGGCGAGGCCGAAAGGCGUAGUCGAUGGGAAACGGGUUAAUAUUCCCGUACUUGGUGUUACUGCGAAGGGGGGACGGAGAAGGCUAUGUUGGCCGGGCGACGGUUGUCCCGGUUUAAGCGUGUAGGUGUGUGUUCCAGGUAAAUCCGGUUCACUUUAACACUGAGGCGUGACGACGAGGCACUACGGUGCUGAAGCAACAAAUGCCCUGCUUCCAGGAAAAGCCUCUAAGCAUCAGGUAACACGAAAUCGUACCCCAAACCGACACAGGUGGUCAGGUAGAGAAUACCAAGGCGCUUGAGAGAACUCGGGUGAAGGAACUAGGCAAAAUGGUGCCGUAACUUCGGGAGAAGGCACGCUGACACGUAGGUGAAGUGAUUUACUCAUGGAGCUGAAGUCAGUCGAAGAUACCAGCUGGCUGCAACUGUUUAUUAAAAACACAGCACUGUGCAAACACGAAAGUGGACGUAUACGGUGUGACGCCUGCCCGGUGCCGGAAGGUUAAUUGAUGGGGUCAGCGUAAGCG